RNAcentral lists this ribosomal RNA (315 nucleotides) under uncultured Treponema sp. Its description in RNAcentral is "partial 16S ribosomal RNA". The record is from RNAcentral. Lineage: Bacteria; Pseudomonadati; Spirochaetota; Spirochaetia; Treponematales; Treponemataceae.
GGAGUCUGGUCCGUAUCUCAGUCCCAAUGUGCCCGAUCGCCCUCUCAGGCCGGAUACCCGUCGUAGCCUUGGUGGGCCCUUACCCCGCCAACCAGCUGAUGGGCCGCAGGCCGCUCCUCCGGCGGAGCAAUAGCUCCUUUCCUCGCACGGCUCCAGCCCGUGCGACCUUAUCCGGUAUUACCCUGUGUUUCCACAGGCUAUCCCCGUCCAGAGGGUGCGUCACCUACGUGUUACUCACCAGUCCGCCGCUCUAGGAUGCCCGGAGGCACCUUGCCGCUCGACUUGCAUGCUUAAGACGCGCCGCCAGCGUUCGUU